RNAcentral lists this ribosomal RNA (467 nucleotides) under uncultured bacterium. Its description in RNAcentral is "partial 16S ribosomal RNA". It matches the Rfam family "Bacterial small subunit ribosomal RNA", at positions 28 to 507 of the family's 1533-position model. The record is from RNAcentral.
GAUGAACGCUGGCGGCGCGCCUAACACAUGCAAGUCGAACGAUUAAAGCACCUUCGGGUGUGUAUAAAGUGGCGAACGGCUGAGUAACACGUGGGCAACCUGCCCCUUUCAUUGGGAUAGCCACGGGAAACCGUGGAUAAUACCGAAUACUUCGAGACUUCCGCAUGGAAGACUCGAGAAAGCUCCGGCGGAGAGGGAUGGGCCCGCGGCCUGUUAGCUUGUUGGUGGGGUAACGGCCUACCAAGGCAAUGAUGGGUAGCUGGGUUGAGAGACCGACCAGCCAGAUUGGGACUGAGACACGGCCCAGACUCCUACGGGAGGCAACAGUGGGGAAUCUUGCACAAUGGGCGAAAGCCUGAUGCAGCGACGCCGCGUGCGGGAUGAAGGCCUUCGGGUUGUAACCCGCUUUCAGCAGGGACGAGGCGAAAGUGACGGUACCUGCAGAAGAAGCCCCGGCUAACUACGUG